AGAGUUUGAUCAUGGCUCAGAUUGAACGCUGGCGGCAUGCCUUACACAUGCAAGUCGAACGGUAACAGGUCUUCGGACGCUGACGAGUGGCGAACGGGUGAGUAAUACAUCGGAACGUGCUCAGUCGUGGGGGAUAACUACUCGAAAGAGUAGCUAAUACCGCAUACGAUCUGAGGAUGAAAGCGGGGGACCUUCGGGCCUCGCGCGAUUGGAGCGGCCGAUGGCAGAUUAGGUAGUUGGUGGGAUAAAAGCUUACCAAGCCGACGAUCUGUAGCUGGUCUGAGAGGACGACCAGCCACACUGGGACUGAGACACGGCCCAGACUCCUACGGGAGGCAGCAGUGGGGAAUUUUGGACAAUGGGCGAAAGCCUGAUCCAGCAAUGCCGCGUGCAGGAUGAAGGCCUUCGGGUUGUAAACUGCUUUUGUACGGAACGAAAAAGCUUCUCCUAACACGAGAGGCCCAUGACGGUACCGUAAGAAUAAGCACCGGCUAACUACGUGCCAGCAGCCGCGGUAAUACGUAGGGUGCGAGCGUUAAUCGGAAUUACUGGGCGUAAAGCGUGCGCAGGCGGUUAUGUAAGACAGAUGUGAAAUCCCCGGGCUCAACCUGGGAACUGCAUUUGUGACUGCAUGGCUAGAGUACGGUAGAGGGGGAUGGAAUUCCGCGUGUAGCAGUGAAAUGCGUAGAUAUGCGGAGGAACACCAAUGGCGAAGGCAGCCCCCUGGGAUAAUACUGACGCUCAGGCACGAAAGCGUGGGUAGCGAACAGGAUUAGAUACCCUGGUAGUCC
RNAcentral lists this ribosomal RNA (791 nucleotides) under uncultured bacterium. RNAcentral's name for it is "bacterial SSU rRNA". It matches the Rfam family "Bacterial small subunit ribosomal RNA", at positions 8 to 796 of the family's 1533-position model. The record is from RNAcentral.